RNAcentral lists this ribosomal RNA (274 nucleotides) under uncultured bacterium. RNAcentral describes it as "partial 16S ribosomal RNA". It matches the Rfam family "Bacterial small subunit ribosomal RNA", at positions 523 to 796 of the family's 1533-position model. The record is from RNAcentral.
AUACGAAGGUCCCAAGCGUUAUUCGGAAUCACUGGGCGUAAAGAGUACGUAGGCGGUUUGGUAAGUCAGGUGUGAAAUCCCGAAGCUCAACUUCGGAACUGCAUCCGAUACUGCCAGACUAGAGUAAUGGAGAGGCAGGUGGAAUUCUCGGUGUAGCAGUGAAAUGCGUGGAUAUCGAGAGGAAGACCAAUGGCGAAGGCAGCCUGCUGGACAUUUACUGACGCUGAGAUACGAAGGCUAGGGGAGCGAAAGGGAUUAGAUACCCCAGUAGUCC